This 253-nucleotide ribosomal RNA is filed under the name uncultured bacterium. RNAcentral's name for it is "partial 16S ribosomal RNA". It matches the Rfam family "Bacterial small subunit ribosomal RNA", at positions 524 to 776 of the family's 1533-position model. The record is from RNAcentral.
UACGAGUGCCUCAAGCGUUAUCCGGAAUCAUUGGGCGUAAAGGGUGCGUAGGCGGACUAUUAAGUCAGUGGUGAAAGCCCCCAGCCUAACUGGGGAACUGCCAUUGAUACUGAUGGUCUUGAGUACAUUUGAGGUGGGCGGAAUGUGUCAUGUAGCGGUGAAAUGCUUAGAUAUGACACAGAACACCGAUUGCGAAGGCAGCUCACUAAACUGUAACUGACGCUGAGGCACGAAAGCGUGGGGAGCAAACAGG